UGGGGAAUUUUGGACAAUGGGCGAAAGCCUGAUCCAGCAAUGCCGCGUGUGUGAAGAAGGCCUUCGGGUUGUAAAGCACUUUUGUCCGGAAAGAAAUCCUUGGCUCUAAUACAGUCGGGGGAUGACGGUACCGGAAGAAUAAGCACCGGCUAACUACGUGCCAGCAGCCGCGGUAAUACGUAGGGUGCAAGCGUUAAUCGGAAUUACUGGGCGUAAAGCGUGCGCAGGCGGUUUGCUAAGACCGAUGUGAAAUCCCCGGGCUCAACCUGGGAACUGCAUUGGUGACUGGCAGGCUAGAGUAUGGCAGAGGGGGGUAGAAUUCCACGUGUAGCAGUGAAAUGCGUAGAGAUGUGGAGGAAUACCGAUGGCGAAGGCAGCCCCCUGGGCCAAGUACUGACGCUCAUGCACGAAAGCGUGGGGGAGCAAACAGGAUUAGAUACCCUGGUAGUCCACGCCCUAAACGAUGUCAACUAGUUGUUGGGGGAUUCAUUUUCCUUAGUAACGUAGCUAACGCGUGAAGUUGACCGCCU
This 530-nucleotide ribosomal RNA is filed under the name uncultured bacterium. RNAcentral's name for it is "partial 16S ribosomal RNA". It matches the Rfam family "Bacterial small subunit ribosomal RNA", at positions 355 to 874 of the family's 1533-position model. The record is from RNAcentral.